AUUGAACGCUGGCGGCAUGCCUUACACAUGCAAGUCGAACGGUAACAGGUCUUCGGAUGCUGACGAGUGGCGAACGGGUGAGUAAUACAUCGGAACGUGCCCGAUCGUGGGGGAUAACGAGGCGAAAGCUUUGCUAAUACCGCAUACGAUCUACGGAUGAAAGCGGGGGAUCUUCGGACCUCGCGCGGACGGGGCGGCCGAUGGCAGAUUAGGUAGUUGGUGGGAUAAAAGCUUACCAAGCCGACGAUCUGUAGCUGGUCUGAGAGGAUGAUCAGCCACACUGGGACUGAGACACGGCCCAGACUCCUACGGGAGGCAGCAGUGGGGAAUUUUGGACAAUGGGCGAAAGCCUGAUCCAGCCAUGCCGCGUGCAGGAUGAAGGCCUUUGGGUUGUAAACUGCUUUUGUACGGAACGAAAAGCCUCUUUCUAAUAAAGAGGGGUCAUGACGGUACCGGAAGAAUAAGCACCGGCUAACUACGUG
This 482-nucleotide ribosomal RNA is filed under the name uncultured bacterium. RNAcentral describes it as "partial 16S ribosomal RNA". It matches the Rfam family "Bacterial small subunit ribosomal RNA", at positions 30 to 507 of the family's 1533-position model. The record is from RNAcentral.